GAUACCUUUAAAGUCAGUCCUGUGAGGCUGGGAAGGUUGCACGGAAAUACAUGAGACUUACUGCGGUAAGAAUCACUGUAUGCUUUUUUCUGCACGUCUGCCCUCCUGUCUACUCUGACUGGAGGGUUUUUCUU
This is a non-coding RNA of Sporosarcina newyorkensis 2681, 134 nucleotides long. The record is from Rfam. Lineage: Bacteria; Bacillati; Bacillota; Bacilli; Caryophanales; Caryophanaceae.